RNAcentral lists this ribosomal RNA (253 nucleotides) under uncultured bacterium. RNAcentral's name for it is "partial 16S ribosomal RNA". It matches the Rfam family "Bacterial small subunit ribosomal RNA", at positions 524 to 776 of the family's 1533-position model. The record is from RNAcentral.
UACGUAGGUGACAAGCGUUGUCCGGAUUUACUGGGCGUAAAGAGCGCGCAGGCGGUCGUUCAAGUCGAGUGUGAAAGCCCCCGGCUCAACUGGGGAGGGUCAUUCGAUACUGAUCGACUCGAAGGCAGGAGAGGGUAGUGGAAUUCCCGGUGUAGUGGUGAAAUGCGUAGAUAUCGGGAGGAACACCAGUGGCGAAGGCGGCUACCUGGCCCACUCUUGACGCUGAGGCGCGAAAGCUAGGGGAGCAAACGGG